This 106-nucleotide small nucleolar RNA is filed under the name Capsicum annuum. Its description in RNAcentral is "Plant small nucleolar RNA R71". It matches the Rfam family "Plant small nucleolar RNA R71". From Rfam's summary of the family: R71 is a member of the C/D box family of snoRNAs containing the C (UGAUGA) and D (CUGA) box motifs. Multiple nearly identical copies of this snoRNA have been identified in Arabidopsis, and it is thought to function as a 2'-O-ribose methylation guide for 18S ribosomal RNA. Lineage: Eukaryota; Viridiplantae; Streptophyta; Magnoliopsida; Solanales; Solanaceae. The record is from Rfam by way of RNAcentral.
UGAUAAUGAUGAGGACAAUUUUGAGCAUACCUUUGAAUCUUUCCUAAGCUUGGUAAAGAUUCUCUCCAUCUAUUUGCCUAUAACUUAGAAUCUCACUUCUCAAAUA